AUUGAACGCUGGCGGAAUGCUUUACACAUGCAAGUCGAACGGCAGCACGGACUUCGGUCUGGUGGCGAGUGGCGAACGGGUGAGUAAUGUAUCGGAACGUGCCCAGUCGUGGGGGAUAACGUAGUGAAAAUUACGCUAAUACCGCAUACGAUCUAUGGAUGAAAGCGGGGGAUCGCAAGACCUCGCGCGAUUGGAGCGGCCGAUAUCAGAUUAGGUAGUUGGUGGGGAAAAGGCCCACCAAGCCAACGAUCUGUAGCUGGUCUGAGAGGACGACCAGCCACACUGGAACUGAGACACGGUCCAGACUCCUACGGGAGGCAGCAGUGGGGAAUUUUGUACAAUGGGCGAAAGCCUGAUCCAGCCAUUCCGCGUGCAGGAUGAAGGCCCUCGGGUUGUAAACUGCUUUUGUACAGAACGAAAAGGUUUCUACUAAUACUAGGAGCUCAUGACGGUACUGUAAGAAUAAGCACCGGCUAACUACGUGCCAGCCGCCGCGGUAA
This 500-nucleotide ribosomal RNA is filed under the name uncultured bacterium. RNAcentral's name for it is "partial 16S ribosomal RNA". It matches the Rfam family "Bacterial small subunit ribosomal RNA", at positions 30 to 523 of the family's 1533-position model. The record is from RNAcentral.